Molecule: non-coding RNA, 1720 nt
Organism: Lolium perenne
Lineage: Eukaryota; Viridiplantae; Streptophyta; Magnoliopsida; Poales; Poaceae
Source: RefSeq, a predicted model, not a curated record
CCGCCGCCAGCCGCCAUGGGCAGCCUCCGCCUCUCCACCUGGUCCUCCUCCGCCGCCGCGCGAGGCCUCCCGCCGGGCCGCCGCGGGCGACCCAGCCGCUGCGCCCCGUCGUCCCCGGCGUCGGCGGCGCUAGGCCGGCUCCAGAUGGGCACGGACCACGCGUGGCAGUGGGACUGCCGCGGCGGCGGAGCGGGCCGGAGGGACUACGCCAAGGAGAUGGAGGCGGCGGUGCGCGUCGUGCAGGUGGCCUGCACGCUCUGCCAGCGCGUGCAGGACUCCCUCCUCCUCGCCGACGCCGGCUCCGGCAGCGUCCACUCCAAGCUCGACCGCUCCCCGGUCACCGUCGCAGAUUGGGGCGUGCAAGCAACAGUAAGCUGGUUACUCUCUGACUGCUUUCGUGAUGAAAAUGUGUCGAUCGUGGCAGAGGAAGAUGAUAAGACACUAUCUAGUAGCGACGGCACGGCUUUACUUGAGUCUGUUGUCGCUGCUGUCAAUGGUUGUCUGGUUGAAGCUCCAAAGUACGGGCUGAGAUCCCCGGAGAAAGACCUCAGGGCUCAUGAUGUUCUCCAAGCUAUACGGAAGUGCAGCUCCACCGGCGGUCCAAAAGGAAGAUUCUGGGUGCUUGAUCCUGUGGAUGGCACGCUUGGUUUCGUGCGUGGGGACCAGUACGCUAUUGCUCUUGCCUUAAUUGAAGAUGGUGAAGUUGUACUAGGUGUUCUUGGGUGCCCAAACUAUCCAAUGAAGAAGGAAUGGCUCAACUAUCACCAGCGGUACUACAGGUUGAUGUCUAAGGUUGCUCCCCCUACAUCUGGAUCCUGGAACAAGGGUUGUGUGAUGUAUGCUCACAAAGGGUGUGGCCAAGCUUGGAUGCAGCCACUGGUUCAUGACUUUGGCAUGCUUAAUUGGCAUAACUCAAGGGAGAUUCAGGUUUCAUCUGUCAGUGAUCCAGUUUCAGCAACAUUCUGUGAACCUGUUGAGAAAGCCAACUCAAGCCAUUCCUUCACUGCAGGACUUGCUCAUAGUGUAGGCUUAAGAAACCGGCCUCUGCGUGUGUAUAGCAUGGUAAAGUAUGCUGCAAUAGCACGAGGUGAUGCAGAAAUCUUCAUGAAAUUCGCUAGAUCUGGAUACAAGGAGAAGAUAUGGGAUCAUGCCGCAGGGGUUGUCAUCAUUCAAGAGGCUGGUGGAGUGGUCACAGAUGCUGGAGGUCGCCCAUUGGACUUCUCCAGGGGUGUUUACUUGGAGGGUUUGGAUAGAGGCAUAGUAGCUUGUUCUGGAGCAUUGCUUCAUCGAAGAAUUUUGGGAGCUGUUGAUGCAAGUUGGAACUCAUCAACAUUGUAAUGGAAGCAAUAGAAAACCCUUAUCAGUCAGAUGGCCUGACAUUGGUCAUAGCAUCCAAGAGUAACUCAACUCAUAUAGAUUUAGGUACCGGAAGAAUUUUUCGUCAGUGUUGAUAGCAGCAUGUCUGCUUAUAAAGAAGUUGUGGCAUGAGAUCGAUGAUACUGGUAUUUGUCCAUCGCGAAUGUUUAGUAGUAGCUGUUUUGCUGGUUUGUGUCAUGCCCUUUUCCCUCGGGCAUAACUUGUAAGCUCAUCGGGUUGAUGACACGUUGAUAAAAUCAGUCAUGAGGAAUUGCUCAGCACCAUUCGUUGAGCAUGACAACUCGAAUCUCUAUACUUCUGACUGAAUGAUCAUGUGAUGUAUUAUCUCCAAAUUUGUCCUUUA